This 45-nucleotide non-coding RNA is filed under the name Echinostoma caproni. Lineage: Eukaryota; Metazoa; Platyhelminthes; Trematoda; Plagiorchiida; Echinostomatidae. The record is from RNAcentral.
UCACUGCUGACGAGUCCAAAACGGAACGAAACAACUGUCCAGUGU